RNAcentral lists this ribosomal RNA (441 nucleotides) under uncultured Caldilinea sp. RNAcentral describes it as "bacterial SSU rRNA". It matches the Rfam family "Bacterial small subunit ribosomal RNA", at positions 338 to 795 of the family's 1533-position model. The record is from RNAcentral. Lineage: Bacteria; Bacillati; Chloroflexota; Caldilineae; Caldilineales; Caldilineaceae.
CCUACGGGAGGCUGCAGUGAGGAAUAUUGCACAAUGGGGGAAACCCUGAUGCAGCAACGCCGCGUGGAGGAUGACAGCCCUUGGGUUGUAAACUCCUUUUCUGUGGGACGAGAGAGGACGGUACCACAGGAAUAAGUCACGGCUAACUACGUGCCAGCAGCCGCGGUAAUACGUAGGUGGCGAGCGUUAUCCGGAAUUACUGGGCGUAAAGCGUACGCAGGCGGCUUGUUUAGUCUGACGUGAAAUCUCCCGGCUUAACUGGGAGAGGUCGUUGGAAACUGACAAGCUUGAGGCAAUGAGAGGGGCAUGGAAUUCCCGGUGUAGUGGUGGAAUGCGUAGAUAUCGGGAGGAACACCAGAGGCGAAAGCGAUGCCCUGGCAUUGACCUGACGCUCAUGUACGAAAGCGUGGGGAGCAAACGGGAUUAGAUACCCUAGUAGUC